CAUUGCAUUUGGUUGUCCUUGGCUUGUUACAAAUCACGUAAAGGAAGUUAAAUGCAGUAG
RNAcentral lists this microRNA precursor (60 nucleotides) under Panagrellus redivivus. RNAcentral describes it as "microRNA prd-mir-7912 precursor". Lineage: Eukaryota; Metazoa; Nematoda; Chromadorea; Rhabditida; Panagrolaimidae. The record is from miRBase by way of RNAcentral.